Oncorhynchus keta (chum salmon) is the source of this 1775-nucleotide long non-coding RNA. RefSeq lists it as uncharacterized. The record is from RefSeq and is a predicted model, not a curated record. The transcript has 3 exons. NCBI's taxonomy places the organism in Eukaryota, Metazoa, Chordata, Actinopteri, Salmoniformes, Salmonidae.
UCAAGCAGCCUUCCAGUCAUCAGAUCACUUCUGGUGAAGGUUAAUGUUUAGAGGAUGUGAAUCAAGCAGCCUUCCAGUCAUCAGAUCACUUCUGGUGAAGGUUAAUGUUUAGAGGAUGUGAAUCAAGCAGCCUUCCAGUCAUUAGAUCACUUCUGGUGAAGGUUAAUGUUUAGAGGAUGUGAAUCAAGCAGCCUUCCAGUCAUCAGAUCACUUCUGGUGAAGGUUAAUGUUUAGAGGAUGUGAAUCAAGCAGCCUUCCAGUCAUCAGAUCACUUCUAGUGAAGGUUAAUGUUUAGAGGAUGUGAAUCAAGCAGCCUUCCAGUCAUCAGAUCACUUCUGGUGAAGGUUCAUGUUUAGAGGAUGUGAAUCAAGCAGCCUUCCAGUCAUCAGAUCACUUCUGGUGAAGGUUCAUGUUUAGAGGAUGUGAAUCACGCAGCCUUCCAGUCAUCAGAACACUUCUGGUGAAGGUUAAUGUUUAGAGGAUGUGAAUCAAGCAGCCUUCCAGUCAUCAGAUCACUUCUGGUGAAGGUUAAUGUUUAGAGGAUGUGAAUCAAGCAGCCUUCCAGUCAUCAGAUCACUUCUGGUGAAGGUUAAUGUUUAGAGGAUGUGAAUCAAGCAGCCUUCCAGUCAUCAGAUCACUUCUGGUGAAGGUUAAUGUUUAGAGGAUGUGAAUCAAGCAGCCUUCCAGUCAUCAGAUCACUUCUGGUGAAGGUUAAUGUUUAGAGGAUGUGAAUCAAGCAGCCUUCCAGUCAUCAGAUCACUUCUGGUGAAGGUUCAUGUUUAGAGGAUGUGAAUCAAGCAGCCUUCCAGUCAUCAGAUCACUUCUGGUGAAGGUUCAUGUUUAGAGGAUGUGAAUCAAGCAGCCUUCCAGUCAUCAGAUCACUUCUGGUGAAGGUUAAUGUUUAGAGGAUGUGAAUCAAGCAGCCUUCCAGUCAUCAGAUCACUUCUGGUGAAGGUUCAUGUUUAGAGGAUGUGAAUCAAGCAGCCUUCCAGUCAUCAGAUCACUUCUGGUGAAGGUUAAUGUUUAGAGGAUGUGAAUCAAGCAGCCUUCCAGUCAUCAGAUCACUUCUGGUGAAGGUUAAUGUUUAGAGGAUGUGAAUCAAGCAGCCUUCCAGUCAUCAGAACACUUCUGGUGAAGGUUAAUGUUUAGAGGAUGUGAAUCAAGCAGCCUUCCAGUCAUCAGAUCACUUCUGGUGAAGGUUAAUGUUUAGAGGAUGUGAAUCAAGCAGCCUUCCAGUCAUCAGAUCACUUCUGGUGAAGGUUAAUGUUUAGAGGAUGUGAAUGAAGCAGCCUUCCAGUCAUCAGAUCACUUCUGGUGAAGGUUAAUGUUUAGAGGAUGUGAAUCAAGCAGCCUUCCAGUCAUCAGAUCACUUCUGGUGAAGGUUAAUGUUUAGAGGAUGUGAAUCAAGCAGCCUUCCAGUCAUCAGAUCACUUCUGGUGAAGGUUAAUGUUUAGAGGAUGUGAAUCAAGCAGCCUUCCAGUCAUCAGAUCACUUCUGGUGAAGGUUAAUGUUUAGAGGAUGUGAAUCAAGCAGCCUUCCAGUCAUCAGAUCACUUCUGGUGAAGGUUCAUGUUUAGAGGAUGUGAAUCAAGCAGCCUUCCAGUCAUCAGAUCACUUCUGGUGAAGGUUCAUGUUUAGAGGAUGUGAAUCAAGCAGCCUUCCAGUCAUCAGAUCACUUCUGGUGAAGGUUCAUGUUUAGAGGAUGUGAAUCAAGCAGCCUUCCAGUCAUCAGAUCACUUCUGGUGAAGGUUAAUGUUUAGAGGAUGUGAAUCAAGC